AGCAAGGUACAAUCAGUCUGGCAGAUGGCAGGGCUCAUAACCCUAGCGGACGCGGGUUCAAAUCCCGCCCUUGCAACCA
This 79-nucleotide transfer RNA is filed under the name Glaciecola sp. RNAcentral's name for it is "tRNA-Met". It matches the Rfam family "tRNA". Rfam says of the family: Transfer RNA (tRNA) molecules are approximately 80 nucleotides in length. Their secondary structure includes four short double-helical elements and three loops (D, anti-codon, and T loops). Further hydrogen bonds mediate the characteristic L-shaped molecular structure. tRNAs have two regions of fundamental functional importance: the anti-codon, which is responsible for specific mRNA codon recognition, and the 3' end, to which the tRNAs corresponding amino acid is attached (by aminoacyl-tRNA synthetases). tRNAs cope with the degeneracy of the genetic code in two manners: having more than one tRNA (with a specific anti-codon) for a particular amino acid; and 'wobble' base-pairing, i.e. permitting non-standard base-pairing at the 3rd anti-codon position. RNAcentral also lists the same sequence under 1 other name. The record is from RNAcentral. Lineage: Bacteria; Pseudomonadati; Pseudomonadota; Gammaproteobacteria; Alteromonadales; Alteromonadaceae.